UUAGAGUGGAGAGAAGAAGAGAAGGGCUAGGUCCUAAACAUGCAAAGAUGAGAGAAGAGAAAUAAAACAACUUGGAGUUUCCUUCUUGAGAUCAUAAAGAUGAUCCAAGUUGCUCCCUUCCUUUGGACUUAGCAAAUAAUAAGCAAAUAACUCAAGCAAUCCAAGCAAAUAUUCAAUCAAGCUCCUAGGAUCCUCCAAUUUGGACUUGUC
This 210-nucleotide long non-coding RNA is filed under the name Lathyrus oleraceus (garden pea). RNAcentral describes it as "Pisum sativum (pea) long non-coding RNA (PSAT_LNC016969)". The record is from RNAcentral. Lineage: Eukaryota; Viridiplantae; Streptophyta; Magnoliopsida; Fabales; Fabaceae.